GGUGGAAGCAACAGUUGGAGGGCAAAAUAAUAUAUACAUAAUACACAUUGAGUCAAUUUUCCUCGUGUUCACUUGAGAGUAAUAAACUUAUUACUACCAUGUUUUGCCCAAUGGUCCUUCAGGUCAACUGGAUUAGAAAGAUCAUGACCUUCAGUUGCAAGUGUACACAGAAGCUUAUUAUAUGCUCCAUUAGACAUUUUUCUCCCAGCCUUACGAUUCCCAGGCUUUGAGGGAUUGAAUGGGAGCGGAUACUCAGAUAAGGAGGUGGUACAGCAUGAUGAU
RNAcentral lists this unclassified non-coding RNA (282 nucleotides) under Hevea brasiliensis (rubber tree). Lineage: Eukaryota; Viridiplantae; Streptophyta; Magnoliopsida; Malpighiales; Euphorbiaceae. The record is from RNAcentral.